Molecule: long non-coding RNA, 1278 nt
Organism: Xenopus tropicalis (tropical clawed frog)
Lineage: Eukaryota; Metazoa; Chordata; Amphibia; Anura; Pipidae
Exons: 2
Source: RefSeq, a predicted model, not a curated record
AUAUUUAUCAAAAAGUGACUGUGAAAACAGUGGUAUUUCCCUCCCAGACACAGCAGAUGAGGAGAAUAACCGAGGCUGUUUAACCAGGCUGGGGGAGCCAAUACAGGAGCUGUUAUUAAAGAGUCACUGCCUGGUAUAAGGGGAGUGACUGCUGGGGGGCUCAGGAAGCAGGAAGUGGGUGGUUGGUUAGGCAAAGUGUUUAAAGAGAGGUUUGGAGAACUGAGCAUGAAUUCAAUAUCUGUAAGUUGUAUGGCAUACAUUGAUAAGAUUGAAGCUUUAUUUAAGAGAAAGUUUUAUACAGACAGACUACUGGUUAACCAGUAAUUUCUAGAGGUUGUACAGUGUAGCUGUGGAUGCAUUAUACAUUAUACAUUCUCAGUGUGGAGAUGUCUCCUCCGUAUUAAAAAAAAGAAGGGUAUAAGCUUUACAUUAAAAAAACAGCAUUAGUCCUUGGCAGAACACAUCACUGGUGCAAACACAGCUCAUGCAAUCAUGGGCAUUGCUUAUUAUAUUUUUGCCAUUAUGCGUGACUAAAUGACCCUUAAUAAUAAUUUGAUAAUACUGCAGAUAUCCUCUAUAAUAAAAAUUGCAAAGCUGACAAACUAUUUACACCAACAUAACUAAUUCACAAACUCAUUUAAUUAUAAAAAUUAUAAAAAAAAUAUGUAUUCAAAAAAAGUAUGUAUUAUUAUAGAUAUCAUUUUUUAUUAGAAAUAUUAGAUUUUUGCUAUAUUGUUUAUUAAAGCCAACACAUUUCCUUUUAUGCAACAUGCUCAGUAGUUUAGCAUAACAUAGCAAAUGAAUGGGUUUUGGUGUAUGGAAAUGUACUUCUAAUUGGUCUAAACCAAUGGCUUACUCUAAAUACACGUAGAGUAAAAUAGAAUCAUUAAAUGAUGACAGAAGCAUCAUGGUUAUUAGAUAAUCACAACCCGGCGGCAUAACAAUUGCCAAGUGUUUCUUAUCCCAUGAGGCCUAAUUAUUUUGCGCUAAUCCCACCUCCUCAUUUUAAUGUGUCUUUUUAGGAUUUGUUGCUGUGGGGGACAGAGUGAAGUGGAUGAUUUAGGAGUUGAAGCAGGCAGGGAAUGAAAAAGCAUUUCUACAAUGCCUAAAAUACAUGUUAAUGAGAAGGAAAAAAGCCACAUUAUCCAUGUUCCUUGAAAGACCAGCUAUUUUUAGAUCACUCCAGGACGAUCAAAAAAAAUGGACAUUUAUUCAGGUUAGCGUGAAAACUAAGAAAUAAUAACUACUAUUUAAAAUAAAAGCAACAUCCACUCUGAA